AACGAACGCUGGCGGCAUGCCUAACACAUGCAAGUCGAACGAGACCUUCGGGUCUAGUGGCGCACGGGUGCGUAACGCGUGGGAACCUGCACUUAGGUUCGGAAUAACUACCCGAAAGGGGUGCUAAUACCGGAUAAUGUCUUAGGACCAAAGAUUUAUCGACUUUGGAUGGGCCCGAGUUGGAUUCGCUAGUUGGUAGGGUAAAAGCCUACCAAGGCGACGAUCCAUAGCUGGUCUGAGAGGAUGAUCAGCCACACUGGGACUGAGACACGGCCCAGACUCCUACGGGAGGCAGCAGUGGGGAAUAGUGGACAAUGGGCGAAAGCCUGAUCCAGCAAUGCCGCGUGAGUGAUGAAGGCCUUAGGGUUGUAAAGCGCUUUUACCCGGGAUGAUAAUGACAGUACCGGGAGAAUAAGCUCCGGCUAACUCCGUG
RNAcentral lists this ribosomal RNA (433 nucleotides) under uncultured bacterium. RNAcentral describes it as "partial 16S ribosomal RNA". It matches the Rfam family "Bacterial small subunit ribosomal RNA", at positions 29 to 507 of the family's 1533-position model. The record is from RNAcentral.